Molecule: long non-coding RNA, 388 nt
Organism: Bombyx mori (domestic silkworm)
Lineage: Eukaryota; Metazoa; Arthropoda; Insecta; Lepidoptera; Bombycidae
Exons: 2
Source: RefSeq, a predicted model, not a curated record
GUAAAAAAACAACUGGAUAUUUCAAUAUGUCAUCGACACUUCUUGCCGUGACACUUUUAAAAAUCCUCUCGAUAAAUUGUGAAUUCAUUUUUUAUCUAUAAUCACAAUUAAUUGGACACAGAAGAUUCUCGUGUACACCUUAGAUAAAUAUAUAUCUACCUAUUAAAAAAACAGGUUCCGGGAAUCGAUUAAGCAAGGCUUAAUAGAGUCUGCCCCGCAUUUCAAUGAUACAAACACAUUCCUAAGAACGAUGUGAUUAUAUCUAUAUAAAGACAAAGUUUGUUGUGAGAGAGUAAUAAUUUAUACAUUAAAUUACAACAGCAGACGCAAUCUUUCUACGAAAAUUAUUCAUGAGGAUUUAAUAAAAUUUCUUACUCACAACACACAA